This 1533-nucleotide ribosomal RNA is filed under the name Candidatus Moraniibacteriota bacterium. RNAcentral's name for it is "bacterial SSU rRNA". It matches the Rfam family "Bacterial small subunit ribosomal RNA". Lineage: Bacteria; Candidatus Moraniibacteriota. The record is from RNAcentral.
AAAUUGAGAGUUUGAUCCUGGCUCAGGAUGAACGCUGGCGGCGUGGAUAAGGCAUGCAAGUCGAAUGGGUUUAGACCCAUGGCAAACGGGUUCAGAUAACAUAGGAAUCUACCCUCGAGUCGCGAAUAAUCCGGAGAAAUCCGGAAUAAUACGCGAUGCCCUCUACGGAGGAAUGAUUUAUCGCUCGAGGAGGAGCCUGUGUCCUAUCAGCUUGUUGGUGAGGUAAUGGCUCACCAAGGCUAUGACGGGUAGGGGGUGUGAGAGCACGGCCCCCAACAUUGGAACUGAGACACUGUCCAAACACCUACGGGUGGCUGCAGUCGAGAAUAUUCCACAAUGGACGAAAGUCUGAUGGAGCGACGCCGCGUGCGGGAUGAAGGCCUUCGGGUUGUAAACCGCUUUUCUACGGGAAGAAUUACGAUGACGGUACCGUAGGAAUAAGAGGUUACUAACUCUGUGCCAGCAGUAGCGGUAAUACAGAGACCUCAAGCGUUAUCCGGAUUUAUUGGGCGUAAAGCGUAAGUAGGCGGGCAUGUUAGUCGGGCGUCAAAGCUCGGGGCUCAACCCCGAAAAGGCGUCCGAAACGGCAUGUCUAGAGAGUGUGAGAGAUCGAUGGAAUUCAUGGUGUAGUAGUGAAAUGCGUUGAUAUCAUGAGGAACACCCAAGGCGUAGGCAAUCGAUUGGCACAUUUCUGACGCUCAGUUACGAAAGCGUGGGUAGCGAAUGGGAUUAGAUACCCCAGUAGUCCACGCCCUAAACGAUGCAUACUAGGUGUGGGGAGAAUCGACCCUCUCUGUGCCGUAGCUAACGCGUUAAGUAUGCCGCCUGGGAAGUACGAGCGCAAGCUUAAAACUCAAAGGAAUAGACGGGGAUCCGCACAAGUGGUGGAGCAUGUGGUUUAAUUCGACGGUAAGCGAGGCACCUCACCAGGGUUUGAAAUCUAGCUGCAGGGCCCAGAAAUGGGACGUCCUUCGAGGGUGCUAGACCAGGUGCUGCAUGGUUGUCGUCAGCUCGUGUCGUAAGAUGUUCCGUUCAGUCGGGAAACGAGCGCAACCCCUGUGAAGUGUUAUACAUGUCACUUCAGACUGCCCUCUCAAUCGCGCACAAGGCGCUCUAUAUUUAAAAGUUUAAAUAUUUAAAUAUAUGUUCGCUUUGCGAAUGAUUGAGAGGGAGGAAGGCGGGGAUGACGUCAAAUCAGCAUGGCCCUUUGACACCUUGGGCGACACACGUGCUACAAUGGCCGGAAUAAAGGGUCGCGAAAUCGGAAGAUGGAGCCAAUCCCAAAAAUUCGGUCUCAGUUCGGAUUGAAGGCUGCAACUCGCCUUCAUGAAGCUGGAAUCACUAGUAAUCGUGAAUCAGCCACGUCACGGUGAAUGCGUUCUCGGAUCUUGUACUCACCGCCCGUCACACCAAGAGAGCCGGCAAUACCAGAAGGCCCCGGGUUAAAUCGGGGACGACGGUAGGGUUGGUAAUAAGGGUGAAGUCGUAACAAGGCAUCCGUAGCGGAAGCUGUGGAUGAAUCACAUCCUUUCU